Molecule: long non-coding RNA, 1039 nt
Organism: Raphanus sativus (radish)
Lineage: Eukaryota; Viridiplantae; Streptophyta; Magnoliopsida; Brassicales; Brassicaceae
Exons: 3
Source: RefSeq, a predicted model, not a curated record
AGAAGCGUGGUAGGGUAAACACAUUUUCUCGCCUCACAACUCUUUCCUCAACUUCCCUUCCAUCGAUCAUCUCAACACCUUCUCCUCCGAUAUCGUCUCCGCCGUCCUCGCCGACGGCAGCGCUAACGGUGGCCCUAAACUCUCGGCGGCUAAUGGCGUCUGGAUCGAUAAGUCUCUGUCCUUCAAACCUUCCUUCAAGCAGCUCUUGGAUGGUUCCUACAAAGCUGCUUCUAAUCAAGCAGAUUUUCAGACAAAGAUGAUAUGAUUGUGACAGGAACUAAGGCAAGCGUGAUUGAAGAGUUCAAAGCAGCCAUGAAGAUUGCAAUUCAGUAAGAAAUCCUAUUGUCCCAGGGACAAAACUAACGAAGGAAGACUCUUCUGGGAAGGCUGAUGCAAAUCUUUAUUGGCAGAUGGUGGGCUGUUUGAUGUACAUAGCAGCCACAAGACCUGAUUUGAUGUUUGUGUUGGGGAUGAUCAUCAGGUUUAUGGAAAGCCCCACGCUAAUUCAUCUAGGAGCAGUGAAAAGAGUCCUUCGAUAUGUGAAAGGAACGGUGGAUCUCGGAGUUCAUUACAAGAGGAAUGGGAGCAACAAACUUGAAGCAUUUUCAGACAGUGAUUAUGCAGGGGAUUUGGAUAGCAGAAGAAGUACAUCGGGUUAUGCAUUGUUCUUAAGUAAUGCAGUCAUCUCUUGGUUCAUUGCAAGACACAGUUACAGGUUGCAAACAUCGUGACCAAACUCUCUGGUGAUCUCAAGGUGGUGUUCUUCACAAACUCAGGGACGGAGGCAAAUGAAUUGGCGUUUUUUUCUUGAACUAUGAUGAGACACAAUGUUGAUCUGUGUUUUGACAUUUGUUUUUGUUCUUUUGUUGCUUGAAGACUGGAACUCACCACGCAUUAAACCCGGAUCCAUAUAGAGGUGUGUUUGGUUCUGAACUUUUGAAUAAGUUUAUCUUGUUCCAAUUUCUUAAGAGUUAGCUUUGCUUCUGUCGUUUGUAAGUGACUAUAUAAAGAGCCAUGCUCUGUUUUUCAAUGAAUAAGC